AGAGUUUGAUCCUGGCUCAGGAUGAACGCUAGCGGCAGGCCUAAUACAUGCAAGUCGAACGGUAAGGCUCUUUCGGGAGUACACGACCGGCGCACGGGGUUGCGUAACGCGUAUGUAAUCUACCAUUAACCGGGGAAUAGCCCAGAGAAAUCUGGAUUAAUGCCCCAUAGUAUUAUCGAAAGGCAUCUUUUGAUAGAUAAAGCUCCGGCGGUUAUAGAUGGGCAUGCGUGACAUUAGUUUGUUGGUGAGGUAACGGCUCACCAAGACUACGAUGUCUAGGGGUUCUGAGAGGAUGAUCCCCCACACUGGUACUGAGACACGGACCAGACUCCUACGGGAGGCAGCAGUGAGGAAUAUUGGUCAAUGGGCGCAAGCCUGAACCAGCCAUCCCGCGUGCAGGAUGACGGCCCUAUGGGUUGUAAACUGCUUUUAUACACCAAGAAAAACACCCACGUGUGGGUGCCCGACGGUAGUGUAUGAAUAAGCAUCGGCUAACUCCGUGCCAGCAGCCGCGGUAAUACGGAGGAUGCAAGCGUUAUCCGGAUUCAUUGGGUUUAAAGGGUGCGCAGGUGGGAAAAUAAGUCAGUGGUGAAAUACUGCCGCUUAACGGUAGAAUUGCCAUUGAUACUGUUUUUCUUGAGUAUGGUUGAGGUAGGUGGAAUGUGUUGUGUAGCGGUGAAAUGCAUAGAUAUGACACAGAACACCGAUUGCGAAGGCAGCUUACUAAACUGUUACUGACGCUGAGGCACGAAAGCGUGGGGAGCGAACAGGAUUAGAUACCCUGGUAGUCCACGCCGUAAACGAUGAGUGCUAGGUGUCGGGGGUAUCGACCCCCUCGGUGCCACGAAAGCGAUAAGUUAUCCACCUGGGGAGUACGACCGCAAGGUUGAAACUCAAAGGAAUUGACGGGGGCCCGCACAAGCGGAGGAACAUGUGGUUUAAUUCGAUGAUACGCGAGGAACCUUACCUGGGCUUAAAUGUAGGCUGCAUUCGGCUGAAAGGCUGAUUCCCUUCGGGGCUGCUUACAAGGUGCUGCAUGGUUGUCGUCAGCUCGUGCCGUGAGGUGUUAGGUUAAGUCCUGCAACGAGCGCAACCCUUACCUUUAGUUGCCAGCAUGUAAUGAUGGGGACUCUAAAGGAACUGCCUACGCAAGUAGUGAGGAAGGUGGGGAUGACGUCAAAUCAGCACGGCCCUUAUGUCCAGGGCGACACACGUGCUACAAUGGCCGAUACAAAGGGCAGCUACCAGGUGACUGGAUGCUAAUCUCUAAAGCUUGUCUCAGUUCGGAUCGAAGUCUGCAACCCGACUUCGUGAAGCUGGAUUCGCUAGUAAUCGCAUAUCAGCCAUGAUGCGGUGAAUACGUUCCCGGGCCUUGUACACACCGCCCGUCAAACAAUGGAAGCUGGGGGUACCUGAAGUCUGUAACCGCAAGGAGCGGCCUAGGGUAAAACUAGUAACUGGUGUUAAGUCGUAACAAGGUAACC
This 1484-nucleotide ribosomal RNA is filed under the name uncultured bacterium. RNAcentral's name for it is "16S ribosomal RNA". It matches the Rfam family "Bacterial small subunit ribosomal RNA". The record is from RNAcentral.